RNAcentral lists this ribosomal RNA (497 nucleotides) under uncultured bacterium. Its description in RNAcentral is "partial 16S ribosomal RNA". It matches the Rfam family "Bacterial small subunit ribosomal RNA", at positions 28 to 507 of the family's 1533-position model. The record is from RNAcentral.
GAUGAACGCUGGCGGCGUGCCUAAUACAUGCAAGUCGAGCGAACGGACGAGAAGCUUGCUUCUCUGAUGUUAGCGGCGGACGGGUGAGUAACACGUGGAUAACCUACCUAUAAGACUGGGAUAACUUCGGGAAACCGGAGCUAAUACCGGAUGAUAUUUUGAACCGCAUGGUUCAAAAGUGAAAGACGGUCUUGCUGUCACUUAUAGAUGGAUCCGCGCUGCAUUAGCUAGUUGGUAAGGUAACGGCUUACCAAGGCAACGAUGCAUAGCCGACCUGAGAGGGUGAUCGGCCACACUGGAACUGGGACACGGUCCAGACUCCUACGGGAGGCAGCAGUAGGGAAUCUUCCGCAAUGGGCGAAAGCCUGACGGAGCAACGCCGCGUGAGUGAUGAAGGUCUUCGGAUCGUACAACUCUGUUAUUAGGGAAGAACAUAUGUGUAAGUAACUGUGCACAUCUUGACGGUACCUAAUCAGAAAGCCACGGCUAACUACGUG